GACGAACGCUGGCGGCGUGCCUAAUACAUGCAAGUCGAGCGAGCUUGCCUAGAUGAUUUUCGUGCUUGCACUAAAUGAAACUAGAUACAAGCGAGCGGCGGACGGGUGAGUAACACGUGGGUAACCUGCCCAAGAGACUGGGAUAACACCUGGAAACAGAUGCUAAUACCGGAUAACAACACUAGACGCAUGUCUAGAGUUUGAAAGAUGGUUCUGCUAUCACUCUUGGAUGGACCUGCGGUGCAUUAGCUAGUUGGUAAGGUAACGGCUUACCAAGGCAAUGAUGCAUAGCCGAGUUGAGAGACUGAUCGGCCACAUUGGGACUGAGACACGGCCCAAACUCCUACGGGAGGCAGCAGUAGGGAAUCUUCCACAAUGGACGAAAGUCUGAUGGAGCAACGCCGCGUGAGUGAAGAAGGGUUUCGGCUCGUAAAGCUCUGUUGGUAGUGAAGAAAGAUAGAGGUAGUAACUGGCCUUUAUUUGACGGUAAUUACUUAGAAAGUCACGGCUAACUACGUG
This 519-nucleotide ribosomal RNA is filed under the name uncultured bacterium. Its description in RNAcentral is "partial 16S ribosomal RNA". It matches the Rfam family "Bacterial small subunit ribosomal RNA", at positions 28 to 507 of the family's 1533-position model. The record is from RNAcentral.